GACUGGUUACAAUAGUUUGAUUAUAUCGAGAAGGUACAAUCAUUCUAUUGACAUUAGAUGUCUCAGGAUAGAGAUAGGGUUGGACCCAAUAACUGUUAAGUGAGGGUCCCAAUAAUAGCUUUGCUCUCGUUGGUGAACGGUAGGUCUGACUUAACUAAAAAAUAUGCCAAUAAUAUUAGAUGAGGUCACAGGACUUAGAGACUGAAUCUGCUGCAUCUUGC
This 221-nucleotide long non-coding RNA is filed under the name Elaeis guineensis (African oil palm). Its description in RNAcentral is "long non-coding RNA (EGUI_LNC042499)". Lineage: Eukaryota; Viridiplantae; Streptophyta; Magnoliopsida; Arecales; Arecaceae. The record is from RNAcentral.